AGCCCUCAGUCCGUAGCCGGUGGAGACAGCAGAUCGGUCGGCUGGCGUUUUAUAAUUACGAUGAGGCGAUGCCACCUUGUUUCGGUCAUCAAACUCACCUCGGUUACACUGGGAAUUAGGAAUUACGAUUACUGAAGUUGAUAACUGCGCUCUCAUUUAUUCAUCAUAUUCCCAUAAACAACGAGAGACUUGCAAGAUCUAUUGUAUACGAAUUAUCGACCCGCUGAAAAGACACUGACUGCUAACAUUUAUUUCGCGUAGGAGAAACAUACUUUCCACCGGGGAAAAAAAAAAAACAUGUUUACAAAGGUGAAAUUCUUUUGGCGUUAUAGUUGAAGUAGCCUUGCUGUAGGCUGAGCUGCCAGCCCCCCGUAAGACCACCCAAACCACUGAGCUGUUACCCAGACUAGACUGACGCACAAAUCGGGGAAGAACCACUAACUUAAAGAGGUCUGGCGCAGAUUAGCAAACCAUCCUUUAAAACAAGUUCAGCGUUUCAUUUUUUUGUCUGAUUAUUCAUGCACUUCGCGUACAUCUUAAUAUCAACUUUGAGAGAAGAAAAGUGUCCGAUAAACCGGACACCGGCACUUUAAAGGCGGCCCCGUGAGCGCAUGUGAAAUAGCCCGCAGAAAAGAGAAGAACUGACUGGGAGGAAUAUAAAGACAGUAUAAAGAUAUUUUGGUAACAGGUGGGGGCGCUCUAAUUACCCUUGGGGACAUGUGAUUCUGUACGUUCGUGUCAUGCUGUGCGACCUAUCACAUCAGCAAACUCCAAAACAAAGUCGCAUCACCUAUUUCAUCCAGUUUGGAGAUGAACUGCUCGUUGUGAACUGUCGUCAAGGUGCUGCCUGGCUAUUGUCGAGUCCAGCAACAGCCGAGUGUGUGCGGUUCUGGCUGCAGUGGAGCCUGUUUGUGUGCGUGCGUGACCCUGCCGGACUGCUGCUCAUCCAUUCAACGGCACAGCUCAUCUGAGGAGAGAUCUCAUGGAACGUGAGCUCAAACACAUUUCUUAGUCACCUCUAUCCCAGCCUCGCUCCUCUUCAGCAGUGUGUACAGGGUGUACCAGCAGGACUGAGGGCCUCAUAGUGCAAGCAGGAGAAGAAUACAUAUGAAUUUACAUGAAGAUUCACCCUUUUUGAAAAAUACUGUUACAAUUUUAGCUCAAUGCUUAAUUUUACCAAAUACAAGAUAUUAGGAAAUAUUCAAAUUCUGUAGAGUCUAAAUGAUGUUUCCUGUUUCUCCUCUAGACCUCAGUAGAAGUCUACAGCUUUCUGAGCAAAAGCCCGUGUCAUCAUUUAUCAUUUCUUUCCUCGGGUUCUUUAAACACAUGACACAGUUAAGAUUUGCCAAGACAUAAAACUAUAACACAUGAAAAAUUAUUUGCUCUGAGGUAGGCAAUAUAAAAACCUAGCUAAAUCUCUCAUGUUACCUCACAGCAAUUUAGUGCAACCAUUGACAGGCAAACUCCCUUUUUACAUUCCUGUUACUGCAUGUGUCAGAUGCCAAUAUGUGAUUUCCCUCCAAUAAAGGUCUCUGUGAGGAGCACUAAAGGCUUUGUGUGUGGUUCUGCCUGUUUAGAGGCUGAUGGGGUAAGUCUUGUAAAUAUGCCUGCACUAUAUGAAUCAGACCUUCACGAGAAAGCGCACUGCUGCAGCUCCUCUCAUCAAUGGUUUAUUUUUAGCCAUAAUACUGACACAACUCAGUCAGUACAAUGUAUGACUCAUUCGUGACUUCACGUAAUUAUUUACUAUUAAAAGAUCAAUUUGACUGGAACUCUGAAAUGUUUCAUUGCAAGCUACCUGGUGUGCAGUUAAGGUGAAUCAGAACACAACCUGAUGGUUAAAACAGAAGUACACAUGAAAAUGAGGGAGCUCUGAAUCACUUCAGUUCACCUGCUCAGGUAUGUGGAACUAAGAGAAUACCGUAUUUACCUUUUGAAGUUUAGUCACGUACAUGUAACUGAACAUGCACCUUAUCUAGACUGAACCUUGCCU
This is a long non-coding RNA of Electrophorus electricus (electric eel), 1993 nucleotides long. RefSeq lists it as uncharacterized. Lineage: Eukaryota; Metazoa; Chordata; Actinopteri; Gymnotiformes; Gymnotidae. The record is from RefSeq and is a predicted model, not a curated record.